AAAUGAUCAGCAUUGUCUGUUUUAGUAGCCACGACAAGUAGCUGCUACUAGUAGCUCUGUGUGUCUUCACCCUAAAAAUGCAAUGAGCAAAGCACCCUUAGUGCCAUAGAUUACGUAUUGUGUUGCUGCUUGUAAAUUGUGACAGCCCUUGUGUAGAGCAUUGGAAGGGGUGGGGUUUAGCAGUGAAGAGGGAGGGAUUCAAUUAGAUUGGGGUGGCAUUAACUGUAACUGUAAUGGAGGCCUGGCUUAUGAGAAUGUUUAGUGGUACAGUCUAGGGCAUAAUAGGGCACAUGUAAGUCCCAGCAUUCCCCAAGGGCCACUGGUGCACUGUGGGGCGAUGGAUGCUGUAGUGCAGUGACAUCUGGAGUUGUACAUUCCAACCAUAGAGUCCUAGUGCCAGUAUAAUAACACCACUAAUAGGCGCGGGAAGGGCCAUCCCAUUAUAAGAUGGCCAACUCGUGGCUCUCCAGUAAUGCCUGAACCACAGGGCAUGCUGGGGGCUGUAGUUCAGCGCUAGCCAGAAGGCUGGCUAAUACUCCAUCUAACCUGAUAUAACCACACACUGCAUCUCUUCACCUUUUGUGUUACUUUAACCCCCUGUUUAUGUUAUGGUUUGGCUUUUAUUUGAAUCAUUCAGAAUUUUAAGCAUGUUUUCCAUUUUCAUGAUUUUGCUUUUUAUUUCUUUAUUAUUCUCUGACCCCCACCCACCCCGCCCACCCCAUUUCUUUGCUUCACUCCCUUCCUCCCAUGCUCCAUUCACUGCUGCUGCUGGGCACCAUAGAUUCCAGUCUCCCAGCCCACUGACAUGGAUGAUAUAGAGGAGUGGCUCAGUAAAGACGUGAAGGGAGAUGAACUGGAGGAAGGAGUGACGAGCGAAGAAUUUGACAAGUUUUUAGAAGAGCGAGCCAAAGCCGCAGAAAGGGUGCCAGAUCUGCCAUCCCCCCCCACUGGAGAGCCGGCUCCGCCCACGAAUCCCGCCGGAAGGAAGAAGCAGGAUCGCUCCGAGGACACGCUCUUUGCUCUGUAAAUAGGCCCCUGCCUCUCUGUACAGCAUUCAUCACAUUCCCCCGGCCACCAUGCACUGCCGCCACCAGUCCCCGGCCCAUACUAGUCUGAUCCAUUCCCACCCCUAAACAGUGAUAGGAACGGGCAUUAACUGGGCUACGAGGGUCUCUCUAUUAUACUACAGUCAUAACGACUUACCUGCUGCUCUCCUGUUAGGCUGCCUGUGUUUAUUGGCCCAGUAAGCAACGUCUGCUUCAUUCCUUUAGCUAAAAACAUCUUUACUAAUAAGCUAAAUGCAAGCCCUGCAAUUAAUGGGUAAGUUGCGCCUGAUAUUAUGGUGACCACUGUCGCUCAGGUUUGAUAGGAAAAUGACUAAACGCUGGAGUCUGGAUAAAGGCCCACAGGCUUCCCAUGCAGCCAAUAAAUACCCAGAAUUCCCA
Molecule: long non-coding RNA, 1445 nt
Organism: Xenopus tropicalis (tropical clawed frog)
Lineage: Eukaryota; Metazoa; Chordata; Amphibia; Anura; Pipidae
Exons: 3
Source: RefSeq, a predicted model, not a curated record